CUUUCAGUGUGGCUGGGAUUUCCCUCUGAGGCUGGCGGGGCUGCUCUGCUGAUGGUGCUGCCAGCUGUGUUUUGGGGGAAGCAGCUUGGAGCAGGCAGCUAGAGCGCUGGGCUGGCACAGAAAAGCCCUGCAGAGCUCAUGCCAGCCCAGCUACCCAGACAGACAGACAGACACUGUCUGACCAAAGACUUCAGCUACUGCCCCAGCACCUCUACUCCGUGUGAGCCCAUGUGGAGCUGUGGGUAUGCAACUAGGGCCCCAGGGAAGGCCGGGACCUUGACCAAAAGACUGGAGAACUUGCUCUAUGAAGGAAGACUGAAAGAGCGAGGUCUUAUCACCCUGUAAGAGAUGUCGCAGGGGGGAUUUAAUGACAGGACUCCAGGAUUUAAGGGGUGGCUACAAAGAGGAUGGAGGCUGUCUCUUCACCAGGAGCCACAUGGAGAAGACAAGGGGAAAUGGGUAAAAAGAGAAGUUUUAGUCAUGAUGUAAGAAACAUAUUUUUUUCCAGUGGGAUCUGCUAACCUGAGAACAACCUCCCCAGGGACGUGGUGGAAUCCCCAUCCUUGGGGCUCUUUAAAUGCAACUGGAUAGCAACACUGGGCAUCUCAUCCAGGCUCCCUGCCCCAUGGACCUGGUGAUCUCCCCAGGUCCCUUCCAUGGGCUGUGCUGUGGCUCUGUGACUCCAUAACAGCCCACUGCACAGGGCGAUGUGCACACGAGGGGCACAGCAACCACUGGUUGUGGGCAAACGCUGGUCUGGGAAACCACUCUGAGCUGUUCUGUACAAGGCAUGUCUAUCUCAGAGCCCAACUCUUCUUCUGAUGCUGCCCUAACGGCGAUUUAUGUCUUCCCCAGCUGUACUGUCAGAGGGAAGACAUCAGCUCAAGUGGAACAUGUCCUGAGAAGGCACUUGCAUGUUGCAGCGAAAAAUACACUGUGAUUUGAUCAGAGCCCAAAGAAAGCUGCAGAACAAGGAUGGCCUCUGUCAGAUGCAUAUCUGCUCCUGGGAGCUCACCUCCCCAGCAGUCUGCUGAAAGAGGCCGGACCCUGCAAGGCACCGCACUGCAAGUCACUGCUGCAGCUCCUCCAGCCUUGCCCAGCUCCUGGGCCUCUCCAGUGAGCAAGAGCUUCACAAAUGGUGCCCAGACCCCUAACACCAUGAAAUACACUUGUUUGUGUUUGGCAUUUUAAAGUAAAGACGUUCUCCUCCCCUGCACUGACCCUGCUCCUUUCUCUCGCUGAGACCUGCGCGUUUUGUCUUCCCAGUUAUCACUCUAGAAACUCAAACAUGAUAUUAGUUUAAUUAGAGAUCAACUCCUUUUAUGGAAUGCAAAUGCCCUACCCGACUAAAUCCCCCUUCUGCAGUUGGCAGAUGCAAAUUAAAUCCUAUGCACUGAAGUGUAAUUUGGCUCUGAACACUCUUAAAGGCCCUCAGUGAUUCAGUGGGUGGAGGGGAAUUAGUCUUAAGCUGCAUUUGUUGCUUUCUCCUCCCUUAAUUUGUUUAUACGAAUGCUACUGAAGCAAUAUCCACUGCAGACAAAUUGCCAAGUGACACACAUGAAUGAGAGCCAGGGUUUCGCUGCUGGUUUUUGGAGCUGUAAAUAACACAGGUCCAGUCUACCUGAAAUAAUGGGAAACAAGGGGCCAUCUGCCACUUCGCGUCCCAUCAUCUUCUUGGGGACCAGCAUACUGGGAUGCCCAAGUGGGCCAUCCUACAGUCACGCAAGGACAGCAGUGCUGGCCUGUGGCAUUUCUCAGCACUCCAGGAGUCCCAUUUUUCAGUGAAAUGCUCUUCUUUAGCUGUUCUGUCCCCAGCCUGAUGGGUGGUGCUGGAAUCCCCAUCCCACAUGGAGGAGCCUUGGAAGCUCUCUGCACUGAUGCACUGAGCUGGUUCCUCCAGCACCAUCACUUGUUGGUGAGCCUCAGUGAAAGCUGCAAUAUUUUUGUCUUGGAUUACUAAAAGAAGUAUUGGGCUGAAGAUCUGAAAAGGGCCCUGAGAGCUCACAUAGUGCAUGAGCUUUAAAUUAACAGAUAAAAUGGACAUUUUGGCAAAAUAAUCCCUGUCAGUCUCCUCUAGGACUGCCACAAUGGUUUUCACCUAUCACCACUAACAGGCUGCACUUUGAAUGUUCCAUUUUAUUUUCCUUCACUGCAUUUACCUUGAAAUAGGUUUCUAUGAUGUUGUGGGCCA
Molecule: long non-coding RNA, 2191 nt
Organism: Numida meleagris (helmeted guineafowl)
Lineage: Eukaryota; Metazoa; Chordata; Aves; Galliformes; Numididae
Source: Ensembl